This 500-nucleotide ribosomal RNA is filed under the name uncultured bacterium. RNAcentral describes it as "partial 16S ribosomal RNA". It matches the Rfam family "Bacterial small subunit ribosomal RNA", at positions 30 to 523 of the family's 1533-position model. The record is from RNAcentral.
AUUGAACGCUGGCGGAAUGCUUUACACAUGCAAGUCGAACGGCAGCACGGACUUCGGUCUGGUGGCGAGUGGCGAACGGGUGAGAAAUGUAUCGGAACGCGCCCAGUCGUGGGGGAUAACGUAGUGAAAAUUACGCUAAUACCGCAUACGAUCUAUGGAUGACAGCGGGGGAUCGCAAGACCUCCCUCGAUUGGAGCUGCCGAUAUCAGUUUAGGUAGUUGGUGGGGUAAAGGCACACCAAGCAAACGAUCUGUAGCUGGUCUGAGAGGACGACCAGCCACACUGUAACUGAGACACGGUCCAGACUCCUACGGGAGGCAGCAGUGGGGAAUUUUGGACAAUGGGCGAAAGCCUGAUCCAGCCAUUCCGCGUGCAGGAUGAAGGCCCUCGGGUUGUAAACUGCUUUUGUACAGAACGAAAAGGUUUCUACUAAUACUAGGAGCUCAUGACGGUACUGUAAGAAUAAGCACCGGCUAACUACGUGCCAGCAGCCGCAGUAA